RNAcentral lists this ribosomal RNA (262 nucleotides) under uncultured bacterium. RNAcentral describes it as "partial 16S ribosomal RNA". It matches the Rfam family "Bacterial small subunit ribosomal RNA", at positions 57 to 305 of the family's 1533-position model. The record is from RNAcentral.
GCAAGUUGAGCGGUAAGGCCCCUUCGGGGGUACACGAGCAGCGAACGGGUGAGUAACGCGUGGGUAAUCUACCUAUGAGGUGGGGGAUAGCCCCGGGAAACCGGGGGUAAUACCGCAUAUGUUCCGUAUGACAUAAGUCACUCGGUGGAAAGACGGGGAUCUUCGGACCUGUCGCCUCUAGAUGAGCCCGCGUCCGAUUAGCUAGUUGGUGAGGUAACGGCUCACCAAGGCAUCGAUCGGUAGCCGGCCUGAGAGGGUGAAC